GAACGCUGGCGGCAGGCUUAASACAUGCAAGUCGAACGGAAGCCUUCGGGCUUUAGUGGCGAACGGGUGAGUAAUGCCUAGGAAUCUGCCCAUUAGCGGGGGAUAACGUUCCGAAAGGAACGCUAAUACCGCAUACGCCCUACGGGGGAAAGCAGGGGAUCUUCGGACCUUGCACUAAUGGAUGAGCCUAGGUCGGAUUAGCUAGUCGGUGGGGUAAAGGCCUACCAAGGCGACGAUCUGUAGCGGGUCUGAGAGGAUGAUCCGCCACACUGGAACUGAGACACGGUCCAGACUCCUACGGGAGGCAGCAGUGGGGAAUAUUGGACAAUGGGCGCAAGCCUGAUCCAGCCAUGCCGCGUGUGUGAAGAAGGCCUUUUGGUUGUAAAGCACUUUAAGCGGGGAGGAGGCAACUUGGGUUAAUACCCCGAUGUUGUGGACGUUACCCGCAGAAUAAGCACCGGCUAACUCUGUGCCAGCAGCCGCGGUAAUACAGAGGGUGCGAGCGUUAAUCGGAAUUACUGGGCGUAAAGCGCGCGUAGGCGGCUUGUUAAGUCGGAUGUGAAAUCCCU
Molecule: ribosomal RNA, 569 nt
Filed under: uncultured bacterium
Lineage: Bacteria
Description: bacterial SSU rRNA
Rfam family: Bacterial small subunit ribosomal RNA
Source: RNAcentral